RNAcentral lists this long non-coding RNA (2274 nucleotides) under Canis lupus familiaris (dog). RNAcentral's name for it is "lncRNA (ENSCAFG00000048155.2)". The record is from RNAcentral. Lineage: Eukaryota; Metazoa; Chordata; Mammalia; Carnivora; Canidae.
GGCGGGGCUGCUCCCGGGGACCCGCGUCCCCAGCCCCUGGGCGCCACGGCCGGAGCCAAACCGGUCGGGAGGGGCGGGGGCCGGGCUGUGGCGGGGCCGGCGGGCGAGUGGCCGCGCAGCCCGGGGGUGGGGGGCGGGGGAGUGCGGCGCUCCCGCCGGCCUCCACCCCGGGCCGGGACGGUCUCGGGGCCUGGAUGGGGCCGUGCCCACUCCCCAAGACCCACCGGGUUAACGACCACUUGGAGACUGCGGAGGCGUGAAGGAGGCAGGGGCGAGGCUUUCAAUUCUGGGAGGUCCAGAGACGCCCAGUAAUUCGGGGAUGGGAGAAGUCAGAGAUGGCCGGCGGGGACCCCAAAUCUUCAAUCUUGUCCUCCCUGCAAGAGAGCCCUGUGACAGUGCCCUGGCUGCAUUUGACCUGGUUGACAGAGGAAAGUGCUCCCAGGAGACUGCCUCCCAGAAGCAGAGGCUCUGCCUGCAAACUGGUCCAGUGGUCCACGGGGACAGAUGCCAUCUCUCUCUCCCAAGAGGCCCAGGGACUCACUCCUGGUCACUCAGUCCCCUUCCAGUCCUCUUCCCAUCACCCAACACCCACCUAUUCACUGGUCUUUGCUCCCCCCACCCUCCUGUCAGAAAGGGACACUCUUCCAUCGGUGAAAGUUGCAUUUAAUGCUCACAUCAUCAUAAAGCAGACACACAACCCCAACCCCAGAAUCCAACCUGUGACCAUCUCACCCGAUAAUGACUAUUCCCCUUAAACACAGAGGAGGAAAUUAACUCCGUUCUAAUUAGGGUGUGAUUUUGAAAACAGCCUUCAGGGGGACAGAAGAGAGGCCUACUUCUUUGGGGAAAGAAGCCCAGAAGGACAAAAGGAAGCAUGGGGCUCUGAGGUCAAUAUCACUGCCUCCUCCCCACCCUCUGGAUAUCAUUUACAUGACCUGUCUGGGGGCUGCCUGUGUUAGACUCAGAUCUCUGGGACUGGACAAGUCAUCCAGGAAGCCUGGGGUGAGGUGAGGGGAAGAAGGGCUUAGAGAGGCAUUAGCCACUCUGCCGAGAUGCCCAGCAGCCCUGGGCAGUGUUCUGACCCCAGGUCCCCUUCAGUUUCUUCAGCCCAGGGGCACCUCUUAUCAGCAGCGCCAACUCUAUACUACCCUCAGGUAGAAGGGACCUCAGCAGGCUCCAUCCUCUGAACAUUUAUUUUUUAUUUUUAUUUAUUUUUAAGAUUAUUAUUUAUUCAUGAGAGACACACAGAGAGAGGCAGAGACAUAGGCAGAGAGAGAAGUGGGCUCCCUGCAGGGAGCCCAAUGCAGGACUCCAUCCUAGGACCCCAGGAUCACACCCUGAGCCAAAGGCAGACACUCAACCACUGAGCCACCCAGGUGCCCUGGUACUCUAAACUUUUACUGAGUUCCUACUGAGUGCCAGUGGCAGAGCUUCAGGAAUAUAGAAAUAAAUAGGGUCUGGACCCUGCCCUCCAGAAAGUGUUUAUCUGGAGGUGACAGCCAGGGAAGGCCAAAGGAGUAUAGAAACCCAAAGGACAGGUUUCUUGAGGGUCUAAGAAGACUUGCUAAAGGAAAUGUCCCCAGAACAAAGCAAAAUGAGAUACCUGAAGAGAAGGCAUUCUAGGCAGAGGGAACAGCCCAGGCACAGGCUGGGCCUGUGAAGCAAUGUAGUAUGGCACGGGAACUAUAAGGAACCUGGCAUGGCUGGCCAUGAGGGCAGGGUGCUUCCUGUGAGGAGCCCAGCCUGGAAGGGACAGUGCAAAGGGCUGUGGAUUUCCUGAGAAAGGAGCUUUGACUUUACCUAAGGUCUAUGGGGAGGCACAGAAGGACUGUGAUCAGCAGAGUAAUAAUUUAGCAGAUCUUUCUGGGGGUUCUUGGAUGGCUCAGUCAAUUAGGCAUCUGACUUGAUUUUUGGCUCAGGUCAUGAUUUCAGGCGGGUGAGAUCCAGCCCCACGUUGGGCUCCAUGGUGGGCAUGGUAUCUGCUUAAGAUUCUCUCUCUCUCUCUCUGCGCCUCCCUCUGCCCCUCUCCUGUUCACACACAUGCAUAUAUGCUCUCUUUUUCUCUCAAAUAAAUAAAUAAAUAAAUACCCUUCCAGGGGUGCCUGGAUGGCACAAUCAGUUGAGUAUCAGACUCUUCAUUUCAGAUCAUGACCUGAUCUCAGGGUUUUGGGAUUGAGCUCCACGUCAGGCUCCACACUCAGCACAAAGUCUGCUUAAAUCCUUCUCUUCCUUUGCCUCUGUCCCUCCCCACUGUGUGCUCACUCUUGCUUUCUC